UACGGAGGAUCCAAGCGUUAUCCGGAAUUAUUGGGCGUAGAGAGCUCGUAGGCGGUUUGUCACGUCUGGUGUGAAAUCCCAUGGCUCAACUGUGGGCUUGCAUCGGGUACGGGCAGACUAGAGUGCUGUAGGGGAGACUGGAAUUCCUGGUGUAGCGGUGGAAUGCGCAGAUAUCAGGAGGAACACCGAUGGCGAAGGCAGGUCUCUGGGAGUAUCCUGACGCUGAGGAGCGAAAGCGUGGGGAGCAAACAGG
This 253-nucleotide ribosomal RNA is filed under the name uncultured bacterium. Its description in RNAcentral is "partial 16S ribosomal RNA". It matches the Rfam family "Bacterial small subunit ribosomal RNA", at positions 524 to 776 of the family's 1533-position model. The record is from RNAcentral.